CAGUCGCUUCCUGCAGUCGCCGUCUCAUCGAUCCCAGCGAAUGCCCGCUCGCUCUGGACGCUCAUGCACCCGCACCCGCACCCGCACCCGCACCCGCACCCGCACCCGCACAUGCAUACAUGCAUGCAAGGGCGCAUGCACCCAUGUCGCCACCUUUUGCUUUGCACGUCCAGCAUAACAAAGGCCCUGUCCUGGACAGCCUGCUACUUAGCAGGGUGAGGGAAGCGAAGGCCGACUGAGUGAAAGCAUCUUGCGACCGACGCAAGAAACAGGGCGCUGUUAGGGGCCCAGAUACCCAUACAACGUCGCGUCAUAUAACUGUAGCCUCAACAAAGCAUGUGCGUACGCAUAUUCACACUGAGAUGUUAAAACCAAAGAG
Molecule: long non-coding RNA, 379 nt
Filed under: Volvox carteri
Lineage: Eukaryota; Viridiplantae; Chlorophyta; Chlorophyceae; Chlamydomonadales; Volvocaceae
Description: long non-coding RNA (VCAR_LNC001382)
Source: RNAcentral